GAUGAACACUGGCGGCGUGCCUAAUACAUGCAAGUCGAACGAACAGACGAGUAGCUUUCUGGUGUGACGGGAGGGGCGGAGGGGGGAGGAACAAGUCGAGAACCUACCUAUACGACUGGGAGGACUACGGGAAGCCGGAGCUACUACCGGAGGAUAUAUUGAACCGGAUGGUUGAAUAGUGAGAGACGGUUUUUGUUUCGGUUAUGGAUGGAUUCGCGGCGCAUUAGCUAGUUGGUAAGGUAACGGCUUACCAAGGCAGCGAUGAGUAGCCGCCCUGAGAGGGUGAUCGGCCACACUGGAACUGCGACACGGUCCAGACUACUACGGGAGGCAGCAGUAGGGGAUCUUCCGCAAUGGGCGAAAGCAUGACGGAGCAACGACGCGGGGGUGAUGAUGGUCUUCGGAUCGUAAAACUCUGUUAUCAGGGAAGAACAAAUGUGUAAGUGACUAUGCACGGCUUGACGGUAGCUAGACAGAAAGCCACGGCUAACUACGUG
RNAcentral lists this ribosomal RNA (497 nucleotides) under uncultured bacterium. RNAcentral describes it as "partial 16S ribosomal RNA". It matches the Rfam family "Bacterial small subunit ribosomal RNA", at positions 28 to 507 of the family's 1533-position model. The record is from RNAcentral.